Molecule: ribosomal RNA, 325 nt
Filed under: uncultured eukaryote
Lineage: Eukaryota
Description: partial 18S ribosomal RNA
Rfam family: Eukaryotic small subunit ribosomal RNA
Source: RNAcentral
CCCUUAGAUGUUCUGGACCGCACGCGCGCUACACUGAUGCAUUCAACGAGCCUAUCCUUGACCGACAGGUCCGGGUAAUCUUUGAAUCUGCAUCGUGACGGGGAUAGAUUAUUGCAAUUAUUAAUCUUCAACGAGGAAUGCCUAGUAGGCGCAAGUCAUCAGCUUGCGUCGAUUACGUCCCUGCCCUUUGUACACACCGCCCGUCGCUCCUACCGAUUGGGUGUGCUGGUGAAAUGUUCGGAUCGGCCGUUUGUCGCGGUUUCCGCGGCUCGUGGCUGAGAAGUUCAUUAAACCCUCCCACCUAGAGGAAGGAGAAGUCGUAACA